CUGAGAGGGAUGCUGAGGGCAGGUGGAUCUGCCUGCCUGCAGCUGACAGGAAAAUGAGAUGUUUCCUGUCUGAUUUUGAAAGGCAGACACAAGAAAUAAGCAGGGUUUAUCAUCAAUGUUGUUGCUGCAAAAAAACAGGUAUUCAAAAGCUGCAUGAGGCCUGCCAUGCCUGACUGACAGAUCCCAAACAUGACUGGGUUUGUACUGGGUUAUGCUGGGAGGGGGCAGCAGACCUGAGCUGGCAGCAUAAAACAUCCUGGAAAAAAAAUUAAAAUAUUGCUACAAGGCAGCUCCAAUCCAGAAUCUUGUCUGGUCCUUUCCUCUUCAUUACCUGUGGCAGAGGUGAGAAGUCCCAAGACUGAGCAAAGUCACAGGAAGGCCUCACACCUGUAGUACCUCCUGCAAAGGGGAUAAUGUAGCAAAAUAGUAGGCAAGAAUUAACUUUUAACUCCCUGUCAGUUGUCUGUAAAUGGGAAAUAUAUUUAGGUGGAGACUCGGGAACAGUGAGGCAUUUACAAAGUGGCAUGAAAUUAAACAGGACAUGUUUGGGAAAGACAUCACAAUCAUUACAUGUCACGGGCUGCCUGAGGAAAGCCCAGAUUACCCAAACAAAAGCAAGGAAGAGCUCUGGGUAUAACUUACAGAGGGAUUUUAAACAAUAGAGAGGAAAAUAUUUCAAGCUAACUUUUUGAAGGGCUCUUCCCUCGAUUUUAGUCUCUCGUUGCCUGAAAAUUAUCUGGUACUGUAUUCAUCUAAGCACGGUUUAAUGUCGAUGAAAGGGUUUAGUCCCUCUAAUUCUGCAUCUUUCCCUUUUCAACCUCUCUUUGGGGCGCAGAGCAUUAUCUCUUCCUGGGAUCAGUCUUCUGUGCUUAAUUUCAACACAGCCUGGGAAAAGGCAGCACAUUGAGAUGUUGACGUUCCCAACAUCAGGCAGAAGCUGGAUGAUAAUGACGGCGAACGCUUUCCCACGUUCCCUGCCCAGCGCCGCGAUGCCAAACCCUAUUGUGUCCCGCACUCCCAGCCCACCUGCUCCUUUGGGAGCGGGGUAUUAUCCCCAGGCAAUUCACAGUCAAUUUGCCAUGCUGUAAUGGAUGCUCUCCCUUUGUCCCGGGCACGCAUGGAUUGGCUGGAGACUGUGGGAAACUCCGAGUCGCUCCGGACCCAGACUUUGGUAAUGCGGCCCCUGCGUAUAAAUAGGGCAGAUCCUGGCUCCCUUCUCCACUCGGAGCUGAAAGCAGCCCUUGGGAUAACGGUGCUCUCUCUCUCUCUGGACAUCCCAUCGCCCGGAGGGAAGGAAGCACAGGCUCCGGGAAGCCCGGCUCGGAUUUACAGCAGCUGGAAUUGCUCCUGGAGAAGGGAUUUCGGAGGCACCAGCCCAACUCCGAGCUGGGGGAAGGCGAAAUCCUGGGGGGAUGGCUGUGAGCGAGCCGGGAUACGGGCGAGCUCUAGCAGCCCGUGCCAAGAGCCCGCGGCAGGAUGAUCCUGGGCGGCAGUGCCCCAGAGCCGCUCUGCAGUUCCCGUCCCUCCGUUCCACGG
Molecule: long non-coding RNA, 1536 nt
Organism: Ficedula albicollis (Collared flycatcher)
Lineage: Eukaryota; Metazoa; Chordata; Aves; Passeriformes; Muscicapidae
Exons: 3
Source: RefSeq, a predicted model, not a curated record